AACGAACGCUGGCGGCGCGCCUAAUACAUGCAAGUCGAGCGAGAAGACGUAGCAAUACGUUUGUAAAGCGGCGAACGGGUGAGGAAUACAUGGGUAACCUACCCUCGAGUGGGGAAUAACUAGCCGAAAGGUUAGCUAAUACCGCGUACGCUCCUUGGACUUCGGUUCAGGGAGGAAAGCGAUACCGUGGGUAUCGCGCUCUUGGAUGGGGCUCAUGUCCUAUCAGCUUGUUGGUGAGGAACGGCUCACCAAGGCUUCGACGGGUAGCUGGUCUGAGAGGACGAUCAGCCACACUGGCACUGCGACACGGGCCAGACUCCUACGGGAGGCAGCAGUAAGGAAUAUUGCGCAAUGGGCGAAAGCCUGACGCAGCGACGCCGCGUGGGGGA
This 389-nucleotide ribosomal RNA is filed under the name uncultured bacterium. Its description in RNAcentral is "bacterial SSU rRNA". It matches the Rfam family "Bacterial small subunit ribosomal RNA", at positions 29 to 408 of the family's 1533-position model. The record is from RNAcentral.